GUUUUCCCGUUGGGACGCUCUCUCUGUCCUCCACCUGCUCCCCUGCCGAGCCUGGAGGCUCUCCUCUGGAAGGUCAACUCCCAGUUCCCAGGAGGGCCGCUCCCUCCCUGAACGUCCCCAAUCCGGUGUACACGUGCUUCAUGGCACACGCCGCAUGGUCCUGUGACUGCAAAUUCCUGACGGCAGGAAGGAAGAAGGGAAAAGGGAGCCAGUGGUUUGUCCCCUCAGCUGACUGCCACUUACCUCUGGCUGCCCAGACCCCACGGCUGCCCCUCUGCAGGGAAGACUUAGGAAGUGAGAAGUUCAGCCUUCUGGCUUCUACAGCAGAAGGCAGGCGAGGGGUCAGGAGGUCUCUCUGGCUUCCCAGAACGCCUGAUGACACAGCUGGACCAGCAAGAAAGUUGGG
This 406-nucleotide long non-coding RNA is filed under the name Microcebus murinus (gray mouse lemur). Its description in RNAcentral is "lncRNA (ENSMICG00000048249.1)". The record is from RNAcentral. Lineage: Eukaryota; Metazoa; Chordata; Mammalia; Primates; Cheirogaleidae.